Molecule: long non-coding RNA, 2235 nt
Organism: Dreissena polymorpha
Lineage: Eukaryota; Metazoa; Mollusca; Bivalvia; Myida; Dreissenidae
Exons: 4
Source: RefSeq, a predicted model, not a curated record
GUUUGUUCCAAUUUCGGUGAUCACUUAAAACUGACUUUUUAUGUUUUAGAUUCCAUUCAACCGGGCGUGUGUUUCAAAUUUUCACGCUCUCUUUUGCUCAAUAGGCGUUUGUUAUCAUACGAAAGGUGGACUUGCUCGGUAUAAUAGGAAAAUGUUCUUCAAUAUGGACAAAUCGUGGUAGAAUUACGAUAGAAAUACCAAUUAAGUUAUGAAUAGAAUAAGUACGAUAUGUAUGGCGUGAUAUUGAAAUUUAACUUCGAUGAAAUACUUAAAGGCAGUCAAAAUCAUGGCUGUCUUGUAUGUAUUGCGAUUUUUAUAGUUGAAAUUUGGAUUUUAAAAUCAAUAUAUAGAUACCUUUGGUCGAUAUUGAGAAUUGAAUGCUGUGUGCGGAAUAAAAACAGUUCGGAUUUAUGCGAUCACAUCUACAAUUUUCUCAAAAUAUAAUGCAACGACAUUCAAGAACACGAAAGUAAAGACUACUUAUUUGCGAGUAACUUCAUUGUCUGAGGUUACAAAAGUGUCAAAAGCAAGUAACUCCAGAGUGGAGAAAAGCCGAACAGGUUGAAUGUUGAAGUACAAAGAGUGUCCUCUUUUAAGACAGUAAAACGUCCAGUUAUUAAGAAGAGAAAUGAAGAUAAAGGUUUCAAACUAUUUUCCGGACCAAGUAAACCAAAACAUAAUGGAUUGACUUUAGACAUUUUGCAAUAAUUGACGCCAUUUAAAAAUGGCGUCGAUUUAGUGACGCAAGAGUCACGUGAUCUGCUGCUGAACUGCAUUAAACUACACCCAAGUGUUCACGAAGUAUUUUUUCCGGAAGCGACGAAAGAUCCCCGAAUAACCGACGAAGAUUUACGGGGAUUUCCGAUUCACAGCCUGGCGGUUGCAGUCAUUUGCGAGGCCAUUUCAAAAGGAGAGGAUCCGUACAAGUUUUACUGUAUGAUCGAAAAGAAUAGCUUGGAAAGUGUGCUGACUGAACUGUAUACUAGCGUACAUUAGAAGAAAUUGGGCCGGAGUGGGCGGAGCGUAUUAUUGAGCGCAUGACGGAGCCCUCUUGGACGAUGGAAUGGGUGCAAAAAUAGUCCGCGGUCAUGUGACAGAGGAGGAAUACAACAUGGCGAUGAACACACUGUUCGUGAAAUUGCACAUGUUGGACCCGCAGUCUGUCAUUCCGACCUUUCAUCUGCUGAAUCACAUCCGAGCUCUCCCGGAAUGCAACCUAGAGCUGGCCACCCGGGACUACCUCGGAGGCCCACUGGACGCUGCGGCACUCAGCGCGCAUGCGCAGACGGCCGUAACAAAGGAGACCAUGCCUAGCAACGGCGCGUCGGGCAUGAGCCUCGACAAAAUCGAAGUUUUUUUACGGCAUUGACGUCGAGGAGUUUAUAAUGAUGGAAGCGCGUAAGGUUGGCGUAUGGAACGGGCGACGUCCCGACAAUAAAAGAACUAGUGACCUCCUGGAUUGAUGCAGCGUCAUGUAAUCUCGUGAUCACAUUUGGCGGUUUCCGGCUCUUGUCGAAAAAAUGCGCAGGCAUCCAGAUGUCGCAUCCGGAAAAAGCUGGCAUACCCUAUGGAAUAAGCAUCAAUUGUUCGUCUGUGACAACGAAAUGAACAAACGCAUGCGUUAGUUGUGACGAUGUUACAAAUAGGUUUCGUUGAUUCGGACCUUUUAUCUCAUGACGUCGAGGUCUGGACGGAUUUAUACAAUUACACAUGUGUUUUGAUUUUCUGGGAGAAAAUCUCCAGUGUGCUUCCGUAUUGAAUGUAAUAUUGUUCAUCCGACUUAUUUUGUACCCAAAUCAUCAUGUUUGUGUUCUGUGAAUGUUUUAAUUGUUAAGCGUACAUUUUUGGUGUGAACAAAUGCGUAUAAUGCGGUAUCGAUGUAUAAGUUAUGCUAUUCACACAUUUUUGAAUGUAUGACAAGUAUUGAUAAAACAGUUCGUGUGUUAUACGUAACGAUUUAAUAUCAUACAUCAAUGACAAGCGAUAUUUACACGUAUUCGCUUCAACUCUUGUUAAUUAUGGUAGAUCUAAUAAGUCACAGGCUUAUCAGGGACGACAUGUUCCGCCCAAACUGGAUUCUCGCUAAGAAGAGACUUUCUUUAAACACAAAUACCAUAAAAGCGGAGACUGUCGUCCCUGAUUUGCAUGUUAACAUGCAUUAAACCCAGUUUUCCCAAAACGCUGCUCUUAUUAUUCUUUUUAUCGCAUAAUGUUCAAAGUUGUGCCUUUGUUAUU